This 497-nucleotide ribosomal RNA is filed under the name uncultured bacterium. RNAcentral describes it as "partial 16S ribosomal RNA". It matches the Rfam family "Bacterial small subunit ribosomal RNA", at positions 28 to 507 of the family's 1533-position model. The record is from RNAcentral.
GAUGAACGCUGGCGGCGUGCCUAAUACAUGCAAGUCGAGCGAACAGAUAAGGAGCUUGCUCCUUUGACGUUAGCGGCGGACGGGUGAGUAACACGUGGGUAACCUACCUAUAAGACUGGGAUAACUUCGGGAAACCGGAGCUAAUACCGGAUAAUAUUUCGAACCGCACGGUUCGAUAGUGAAAGAUGGUUUUGCUAUCACUUAUAGAUGGACCCGCGCCGUAUUAGCUAGUUGGUAAGGUAACGGCUUACCAAGGCGACGAUACGUAGCCGACCUGAGAGGGUGGUCGGCCACACUGGACCUGCGACACGGUCCAGACUCCUGCGGCAGGCACCAUUCGGGCUUCUUCCACAAUCGGCGAAAGCCUGCCGGAGCUGACCCGCGUGAGUGAGGAAGGUCUUCUAAUCGUAAAGCUCUGUUCUUCGGGAAGAACAUACGUGUAGGUUCCUGUGCACUUCUUGACGGUACCUCAUCAGAAGGCCACGGCUAACUACGUG